GCUUACGGCCAUACCAGCCUGGGUACGCCCGAUCUCGUCUGAUCUCGGAAGCUAAGCAGGCUCGUGCCUGGUUAGUACUUGGAUGGGAGACCGCCUGGGAAAACCAGGUGCUGUAAGCA
This 119-nucleotide ribosomal RNA is filed under the name Salmo salar (Atlantic salmon). The record is from RNAcentral. Lineage: Eukaryota; Metazoa; Chordata; Actinopteri; Salmoniformes; Salmonidae.